AUUAAAUGAGAGUUUGAUCCUGGCUCAGGACGAACGCUGGCGGCGUGCCUAAUACAUGCAAGUAGAACGCUGAAGACUUUAGCUUGCUAGAGUUGGAAG
RNAcentral lists this ribosomal RNA (99 nucleotides) under Streptococcus gallolyticus. Its description in RNAcentral is "partial 16S rRNA. Bacterial SSU". It matches the Rfam family "Bacterial small subunit ribosomal RNA", at positions 1 to 95 of the family's 1533-position model. Lineage: Bacteria; Bacillati; Bacillota; Bacilli; Lactobacillales; Streptococcaceae. The record is from RNAcentral.